RNAcentral lists this ribosomal RNA (318 nucleotides) under uncultured bacterium. RNAcentral describes it as "bacterial SSU rRNA". It matches the Rfam family "Bacterial small subunit ribosomal RNA", at positions 28 to 334 of the family's 1533-position model. The record is from RNAcentral.
GAUGAACGCUAGCGACAGGCUUAACACAUGCAAGUCGAGGGGCAGCGGGGGAGUAGCAAUACUCCCGCCGGCGACCGGCGCACGGGUGAGUAACACGUAUGAAACCUGCCCGUAGCAGGGGGAUAAGCGGAAGAAAUUCCGUCUAAUACCGCGUAACAACCCUUGGAGGCAUCUCCCCGGGGUUUAAAGGAAGCGAUUCCGGCUACGGAUGGUCAUGCGUCGCAGUAGCUAGUUGGCGGGGUAACGGCCCACCAAGGCGACGAUGCGUAGGGGUUCUGAGAGGAAGGUCCGCCACACUGGUACUGAGACACGGACCAG